GACAGAGGAUGCAAGCGUUAUCCGGAAUUAUUGGGCGUAAAGGGUGCGUAGAUGGCAUAAUAAGUUAUUGGUGGUAAAUCGAGGCUCAACCUCGUGGAAGCUGGUAAUACUGUUAUGCUCGAGUGCAGAAGAGGUUAACGGAACUCCCUGUGGAGCGGUAAAAUGUGAAGAUAUAGGGAAGAACACCAAUAACGGCGAAGGCAGUUAACUAUUCUGUUACUGACAUUGAGGCACGAAAGCGUGGGGAACAAAACGG
Molecule: ribosomal RNA, 256 nt
Filed under: uncultured bacterium
Lineage: Bacteria
Description: partial 16S ribosomal RNA
Rfam family: Bacterial small subunit ribosomal RNA
Source: RNAcentral